UUAAGCGACUAAGCGUACACGGUGGAUGCCCUGGCAGUCAGAGGCGAUGAAGGACGUGCUAAUCUGCGAAAAGCGUCGGUAAGGUGAUAUGAACCGUUACAGCCGGCGAUGUCCGAAUGGGGAAACCCAGUGCAAUUCGUUGCACUAUCGUUAACUGAAUACAUAGGUUAACGAGGCGAACCGGGGGAACUGAAACAUCUAAGUACCCCGAGGAAAAGAAAUCAACCGAGAUUCCCCCAGUAGCGGCGAGCGAACGGGGAGCAGCCCAGAGUCUGAAUCAGCUUGUGUGUUAGUGGAACGGUCUGGAAAGUCCGACGGUACAGGGUGAUAGUCCCGUACACCAAAAUGCACAGGCUGUGAACUCGAAGAGUAGGGCGGGACACGUGGUAUCCUGUCUGAAUAUGGGGGGACCAUCCUCCAAGGCUAAAUACUCCUGACUGACCGAUAGUGAACCAGUACCGUGAGGGAAAGGCGAAAAGAACCCCGGCGAGGGGAGUGAAAAAGAACCUGAAACCGUGUACGUACAAGCAGUGGGAGCACCUUCGGGUGUGACUGCGUACCUUUUGUAUAAUGGGUCAGCGACUUAUAUUCUGUAGCAAGGUUAACCGUAUAGGGGAGCCGCAGGGAAACCGAGUCUUAACUGGGCGUUAAGUUGCAGGGUAUAGACCCGAAACCCGGUGAUCUAGCCAUGGGCAGGUUGAAGGUUGGGUAACACUAACUGGAGGACCGAACCGACUAAUGUUGAAAAAUUAGCGGAUGACUUGUGGCUGGGGGUGAAAGGCCAAUCAAACCGGGAGAUAGCUGGUUCUCCCCGAAAGCUAUUUAGGUAGCGCCUCGUGAAUUCAUCUUCGGGGGUAGAGCACUGUUUCGGCUAGGGGGUCAUCCCGACUUACCAACCCGAUGCAAACUACGAAUACCGAAGAAUGUUAUCACGGGAGACACACGGCGGGUGCUAACGUCCGUCGUGAAGAGGGAAACAACCCAGACCGCCAGCUAAGGUCCCAAAGUCACAGUUAAGUGGGAAACGAUGUGGGAAGGCACAGACAGCCAGGAUGUUGGCUUAGAAGCAGCCAUCAUUUAAAGAAAGCGUAAUAGCUCACUGGUCGAGUCGGCCUGCGCGGAAGAUGUAACGGGGCUAAACUGUGCACCGAAGCUGCGGCAGCGACACUAUGUGUUGUUGGGUAGGGGAGCGUUCUGUAAGCCUGCGAAGGUGGCCUGUGAGGGUUGCUGGAGGUAUCAGAAGUGCGAAUGCUGACAUAAGUAACGAUAAUGCGGGUGAAAAGCCCGCACGCCGGAAGACCAAGGGUUCCUGUCCAACGUUAAUCGGGGCAGGGUGAGUCGACCCCUAAGGCGAGGCCGAAAGGCGUAGUCGAUGGGAAACAGGUUAAUAUUCCUGUACUUGGUGUUACUGCGAAGGGGGGACGGAGAAGGCUAUGUUAGCCGGGCGACGGUUGUCCCGGUUUAAGCAUGUAGGCGGAGGUUCCAGGUAAAUCCGGUACCUUUUUAACGCUGAGGUGUGAUGACGAGGCACUACGGUGCUGAAGUAACAAAUGCCCUGCUUCCAGGAAAAGCCUCUAAGCAUCAGGUAACAUUGAAUCGUACCCCAAACCGACACAGGUGGUCAGGUAGAGAAUACCAAGGCGCUUGAGAGAACUCGGGUGAAGGAACUAGGCAAAAUGGUGCCGUAACUUCGGGAGAAGGCACGCUGAUAUGUAGGUGAAGCCCCUGCGGGUGGAGCUGAAAUCAGUCGAAGAUACCAGCUGGCUGCAACUGUUUAUUAAAAACACAGCACUGUGCAAACACGAAAGUGGACGUAUACGGUGUGACGCCUGCCCGGUGCCGGAAGGUUAAUUGAUGGGGUUAUCCGUAAGGAGAAGCUCUUGAUCGAAGCCCCGGUAAACGGCGGCCGUAACUAUAACGGUCCUAAGGUAGCGAAAUUCCUUGUCGGGUAAGUUCCGACCUGCACGAAUGGCGUAAUGAUGGCCAGGCUGUCUCCACCCGAGACUCAGUGAAAUUGAACUCGCUGUGAAGAUGCAGUGUACCCGCGGCAAGACGGAAAGACCCCGUGAACCUUUACUAUAGCUUGACACUGAACAUUGAGCCUUGAUGUGUAGGAUAGGUGGGAGGCUUUGAAGCGUGGACGCCAGUCUGCGUGGAGCCAACCUUGAAAUACCACCCUUUAAUGUUUGAUGUUCUAACGUUGGCCCCUUAUCGGGGUUGCGGACAGUGUCUGGUGGGUAGUUUGACUGGGGCGGUCUCCUCCCAAAGAGUAACGGAGGAGCACGAAGGUUAGCUAAUCCUGGUCGGACAUCAGGAGGUUAGUGCAAUGGCAUAAGCUAGCUUGACUGCGAGCGUGACGGCGCGAGCAGGUGCGAAAGCAGGUCAUAGUGAUCCGGUGGUUCUGAAUGGAAGGGCCAUCGCUCAACGGAUAAAAGGUACUCCGGGGAUAACAGGCUGAUACCGCCCAAGAGUUCAUAUCGACGGCGGUGUUUGGCACCUCGAUGUCGGCUCAUCACAUCCUGGGGCUGAAGUAGGUCCCAAGGGUAUGGCUGUUCGCCAUUUAAAGUGGUACGCGAGCUGGGUUUAGAACGUCGUGAGACAGUUCGGUCCCUAUCUGCCGUGGGCGCUGGAGAAUUGAGGGGGGCUGCUCCUAGUACGAGAGGACCGGAGUGGACGCAUCACUGGUGUUCGGGUUGUCAUGCCAAUGGCAUUGCCCGGUAGCUAAAUGCGGAAGAGAUAAGUGCUGAAAGCAUCUAAGCACGAAACUUGCCCCGAGAUGAGUUCUCCCUGAGACUUAAAGUCUCCUGAAGGAACGUUAAAGACUAUGACGUUGAUAGGUCGGGUGUGUAAGCGUAGCGAUACGUUGAGCUAACCGAUACUAAUGAACCGUGAGGCUUAACCUU
Molecule: ribosomal RNA, 2903 nt
Filed under: Klebsiella aerogenes MGH 78
Lineage: Bacteria; Pseudomonadati; Pseudomonadota; Gammaproteobacteria; Enterobacterales; Enterobacteriaceae
Description: bacterial LSU rRNA
Rfam family: Bacterial large subunit ribosomal RNA
Source: RNAcentral